GUAGUUGACUCCGUGGACUACAGAACGACGCUGGCGGCAGGCUUAACACAUGCAAGUCGAACGCCCCGCAAGGGGAGUGGCAGACGGGUGAGUAACGCGUGGGAAUCUACCCAUCUCUACGGAAUAACUCAGGGAAACUUGUGCUAAUACCGUAUACGCCCUUCGGGGGAAAGAUUUAUCGGAGAUGGAUGGGCCCGCGUUGGAUUAGCUAGUUGGUGGGGUAAAGGCCUACCAAGGCGACGAUCCAUAGCUGGUCUGAGAGGAUGAUCAGCCACAUUGGGACUGAGACACGGCCCAAACUCCUACGGGAGGCGGCAGUGGGGAAUAUUGGACAAUGGGCGCAAGCCUGAUCCAGCCAUGCCGCGUGAGUGAUGAAGGCCCUAGGGUUGUAAAGCUCUUUCACCGGUGAAGAUAAUGACGGUAACCGGAGAAGAAGCCCCGGCUAACUUCGUG
This 453-nucleotide ribosomal RNA is filed under the name uncultured Shinella sp. Its description in RNAcentral is "bacterial SSU rRNA". It matches the Rfam family "Bacterial small subunit ribosomal RNA", at positions 1 to 507 of the family's 1533-position model. Lineage: Bacteria; Pseudomonadati; Pseudomonadota; Alphaproteobacteria; Hyphomicrobiales; Rhizobiaceae. The record is from RNAcentral.